RNAcentral lists this ribosomal RNA (495 nucleotides) under uncultured bacterium. RNAcentral describes it as "partial 16S ribosomal RNA". It matches the Rfam family "Bacterial small subunit ribosomal RNA", at positions 28 to 507 of the family's 1533-position model. The record is from RNAcentral.
GAUGAACGCUGGCGGCGUGCCUAAUACAUGCAAGUCGAACGCUGAAGGAGGAGCUUGCUCUUCUGGAUGAGUUGCGAACGGGUGAGUAACGCGUAGGUAACCUGCCUGGUAGCGGGGGAUAUCUAUUGGAAACGAUAGCUAAUACCGCAUGACAACAGUUAUUGCAUGAUAACUGUUUAAAAGGGGCAACUGCUCCACUACCAGAUGGACCUGCGUUGUAUUAGCUAGUUGGUGAGGUAACGGCUCACCAAGGCGACGAUACAUAGCCGACCUGAGAGGGGGAUCGGCCACACUGGGACUGAGACACGGCCCAGACUCCUACGGGAGGCAGCAGUAGGGAAUCUUCGGCAAUGGACGGAAGUCUGACCGAGCAACGCCGCGGGAGGGAAGAAGGGUUUCGGAUCGUAAAGCUCUGUUGUAAGAGAAGAACGAGUGUGAGAGUGGAAAGUUCACACUGUGACGGUAUCUGACCAGAAAGGGACGGCUAACUACGUG